Molecule: long non-coding RNA, 673 nt
Organism: Rosa rugosa (rugosa rose)
Lineage: Eukaryota; Viridiplantae; Streptophyta; Magnoliopsida; Rosales; Rosaceae
Exons: 3
Source: RefSeq, a predicted model, not a curated record
UGGCAUGUUCUUUAUUUGGCUCAUUUGCGAAGUUCUUUUUGUCAGACAUGCUCAUUCUCAAGACCAUGUUAUUUGAAGGAAGUUUGUCCUUUUCUUUUGCUAGGAAAUCAAUGGCUAAUAAGGUUCUGACAAUUCCAAGGCUUACUUACUAAGAAGUUUACUUUGUCAAAUUCAUUGCUAAAAUGGUCUGUGAAGUUUCUGAAAUCUGAAAUAGGAUUCAAAUGAGUGUUUGAUUAUUUCAUUUUGUCCUAUAAUGUUAAUUUUUGUUUUCCUAUUGAUCAGUCCAAGAAAGAAUGCAACUACUUGAUAAAGCUUGCUACACCUCACAUGGCAAAGUCGACCGUUGUCGAUAGCAAACUGGGAAGAGCAAAGAUAGUAGAAAAACUAGUUGCGGAGCAAAGCUGCAGAGGAGUUUUGAUGCUGUGUUUGCUUUAGAGGCUUGAUGGUAGAGUUGUUGAUGGUCGCGAAAUAACUGCUUAGUUUGCAAAAUUUUAGUGAAUCUGAACAAAAAUAAAGAUUAAAGAGAGAAUGAACUUGAUAUGUGGCUCCAAUGGCCUUUCUUAACUUGGAUUUUAUUUUUUUUGGCUCCAAUGGCCUUGAUUCCUAAUUUCCAGUGUAAUUUGCUGCUAGUGGAAAGAAUGAACUUGAUUUGUGGCUCACAGCCUCACAUCUA